This 427-nucleotide ribosomal RNA is filed under the name uncultured bacterium. RNAcentral's name for it is "partial 16S ribosomal RNA". It matches the Rfam family "Bacterial small subunit ribosomal RNA", at positions 355 to 774 of the family's 1533-position model. The record is from RNAcentral.
UGGGGAAUAUUGCACAAUGGGCGCAAGCCUGAUGCAGCCAUGCCGCGUGUAUGAAGAAGGCCUUCGGGUUGUAAAGUACUUUCAGCGGGGAGGAAGGUGUUGAGGUUAAUAACCUCAGCAAUUGACGUUACCCGCAGAAGAAGCACCGGCUAACUCCGUGCCAGCAGCCGCGGUAAUACGGAGGGUGCAAGCGUUAAUCGGAAUUACUGGGCGUAAAGCGCACGCAGGCGGUCUGUCAAGUCGGAUGUGAAAUCCCCGGGCUCAACCUGGGAACUGCAUUCGAAACUGGCAGGCUAGAGUCUUGUAGAGGGGGGUAGAAUUCCAGGUGUAGCGGUGAAAUGCGUAGAGACCUGGAGGAAUACCGGUGGCGAAGGCGGCCCCCUGGACAAAGACUGACGCUCAGGUGCGAAAGCGUGGGGAGCAAACA